GAUAGUGUCAGAACGGAUUGAGGUAGAGCUUCUAAUGACCCCCGUGAGCACUGAGUGACCAAGCGAGGGACCAGCCGGCCUCCUCGUGCCCGUUGCUCUCUCAGGGCAGCUGGGGAUGGUGCUGUGAUCUCGAGCCAAAGGAAAUAGACCGUAGCACCAACUGGCUGACUCUGGGGGAAAACUUGAGAGCUGUUGGAAAAGCUGGAAAAGAUCCCUUCACGACCGACGAGUGGCCGCCUGAACUUUUGAUUCAGUAUCACUGCAAUGGGUGAGUCUUUCUCUGGGUUCCCUGAGUUCCUCACCUUCUCCACUCUGCUGCAGGCAAUUCUCUCUUUCUCUCUGUCUCUCUGCAAACCAGUUGUUAGAAUGGUUAAAAAUCACUCUCUCUUGCAAAGUUUUAAUUAAUGGGCAAAAGUAUUCACGAGGCCAGUCUUAAGCUGUAGCGAAUCUGGUAUACCUUGUGCUAUGAAUUUGUCUUUCUGUGUCAUUCUGUCACAAACAGUGGAAACUUAGGAUAGAACACAGGCUUAGGACCUUGUCCUUUCACAGUGGUGGCCCAGGUUCAGGGUUCAAUUCUGGGCCAAGAGAAUGAGUCCUUUCUGGUUUGAUGUCUGUGUAACUUUGGCCAUUUGUUGACUUUCUUCCCCUCCAUGAACAAUUUCUAGCUUCCUUGUAGAAUCUUCCUUUCUCUGAUCUACCUUUGGAAAGUCUAGAUUUUUUAAAAACUGCUAACCACCUCUUUGAAAAUACCUCAUACGGUCGCGGUUAAGUCAUAACCUUAAUUGAGGCUUAUUGGUUUCGCCUGUGAGGUCGGUUUUGAUAAAGCUUAGAAGCCAGAAAUAUUCAUCGUUUGGCCUGGAUAAAGUAGGGUAAUAAGAAAUUUUAAAGAUCGCCAUGUUUAAAAGUCAGCUUAAUUAAAAGCAGAUAUCUAAGCCACUCAUAUAUUUAAAAGGUCUUUACGAUUUUUUCUCUUCUUGAAUCUUCUUUUUCUGGAGAAAAAAGGUUUUUUUUCUUCUCAGUUGGCUGAAUUGCUUUUCUCUAUUUUGUCUUGCCACUCUUGAUGCACACAAGAGAGGACCUAAGAGAACUUCUAACAGCUUGGGACUCCUUGGGGAAAAUAGAGGAGGUGCCAUAGAUCCUGCUUUGGGAAAAACCUCUGUUUUCCUCAUGAAACCCCAGGAAUUGAAAGCAGAUAGAUCCCUCUCAAAAUCUAUGGCUAAAUAUACUUUUAGGGAUGGCUAAUGGUAAUUAUGGGGGACACACAGCUUUUUCCACAUUGGGAUCAGAAAAGCAUGCUCACAGCCAGCUAGAAAGUAUGGAAACGCCCCCACCCGAGCUGAGAGAGAAGACUCCCCUGGGGGAUGGGCUGAUCAGCUUUGGGUUGCUUUGCAAUCAAAUGCACAGGGAAAUCAUUGCACUGUCUUGUUCCACAGCAUUUCUCUUUUGGGGAUCCAGGAGCCAGUAUGAUAAUAGAACCCUGAAUUUUGGGGGAUCUGUUUUGCCUUCCAGCUGUGCCUGCUUAUUAGACCCUAGAAAAUAACUGCGUGCUUUCCUAGCCCUGUUCCUCCAAGGACUCCACCGUGAAGCCAGUAAUCCAAUUAAGAAACUUAAAAACUGGCAAAUGAAAAAUCUUACAACUACCGGAUCUUCUUCUGUCUUUCUGUGUAUUUAUAUUAUUGCACAUGUGAUGUUUAUAUAUGAAAGAGCUCUGAUUAAUUGGCUUAAAAAUAAUAAGUGCUUAAAUCAAAUAUUUUGUCAGAAAAGUAAAAAAUGUAAUGCUUUUUAGUUCACAUGACUUCAGUAAUCUUUGGGAAAUAGAAACAGCUAUAAAUGUUAUUGGUAAAAUAAAGACAUUUGGUCUAAAUUAGGCAAGUCAGAUAUUAGGUUUACUAAAUACUUUAAGGUCAUAAACUGCUUUGACUUUUGAAAAGUGUUCGACUGAACUGCUUCAGAGCUAUUAGAUUCUAAAUAAUGCCUGGGGACAUGUGGAGUUACCCAUGCCCCCGGCUAUGCUGGAAAGAGUCAGACUUUAUCUGCACUUCUGUCUGGUGUUCCAGGUUCCAGACCUGGUACAUAAUCAGAAUCGCUCACUUAUCGGGUUUUUCACCAAAAAUAAAACUUGCUAAGUGAGGCCGGGUGUGGUGGCUCACGCCUAUAAUCCCAGCACUUUGGGAGGCCGAGGCUGGCAGAUCACCUGAGGUCAGGAGUUUGAGACCAGCCUGGCCAACACAGCGAAACCCCGUCUCUACUAAAAAUACAAAACUUAGCCAGGAGUGGUGUGAGUGCCUGUAAUCCCAGCUGCUCGAAAGGCUGAGGCAGGAGAACUACUUGAACCUGGGAGAUGGAGGUUGCAGUGAGCCAAGAUCAUGCCACUGCACUCCAGUCUGGGUGACAGAGCAAGACUCCAUCUCCAAAAUAUAAUUAAAAAAAAAAAGUUGCUAAGUGUUAACAUUGUAACAUAUAAUUGAGACUACUGAAGGAACAGUUUGACAUGCAGAGGGUAUAAAGAAAGUGAAAUGUGUUUUUAGUAAAAGAUCAUAAGAAGUCAUGGGAAUGUGGAUAUUUUUGCCUAGAUUAAAGGGUUACAGGAUUGUUUUAAGUUAGAUAAGGAUAAAGCUGAAGGUUUAAGCAAGUUGUGGAAGGUUUGUGAAAAGUUAAUCUUGUAAAAGUAACUCUGUGUGUGAACUUAUUAAUUAAAGUUAAAGGGGUUUUAUUCAGUUUUUCCAUAAAUUACAUAUUGGAAUAAAAGCUCAACAGGGUUUUCUUAGAGCACCGCUCUGCUCUUUAACAAAAAUUUGUAAAGGGUUAUAAAGGGUUUAUGAGAAUCUCACCUUAUGAUCAAACUGAUUAAGAUUAAAUAGAUUUGUCUAUAAGAUUUUAUUAAAGAUUGGGGUUGACAUUAAUAGUACACUAAUUCAAGGGUGAAACUUGGCUUUUUCUCUUGAACAAGAUUUUCAUGUAAUAUUAAACGAUAACGAAAGAUUUUACUUUGCCUUUUGAAUAAACUACCAAAUAAAGAAGGGAAAAACAAGAGACAGAUUGUUUGGAAAGCUAAGUCUUCCCUCUAUGAAUGAGUGAAGAUUUUUGCCUUUUUAAAACUUUCGAGUUGGUAUUUUGACUAAAUGAAUGAUUUAUGGUGACCUAGAAUUCUAUUUCAUAAUAUCAAGUGUUUCAAACCAUUAACAUAUUUUAUAGGUGAAACCACCAUUGCUAAAUUGUCACUGAGAUAGUGAAAGAGAUCUGACCUAACCGACUCCAUCUUGCUUCUAAUCUCCAAGCAGUCCUUUUUCAUUCCUGGGUGUAGGCUGAACUAUCUUUGGGAGAAACUUCGUUUAUAGUUUAUAGUUUAAAACAAAGAUGGUAACAGUCCUUUCCCAAAACAGAUCCCCUUCUUGCCUGGGGACUAGACUGCCCUUAUAGGACUAACAAAUUAGCCACAGAUUAGAGAUUAUGGUUUAGGAGUUAUGCGGCUGGAGGCUACAAGAUUCUGACCCUUCCUAAACUGCUCCUAAAAUCAGUGCUUGAGAUAUUUUGCAGACCCUGCACUUGAUGGAUCAGCUGACACCAUCCAGAUUGACAAACUGGCUUAUCUGGUUGUGGUCCCCACCCAGGAGCUGACCCAGCACAAGAAGACAGCUUCAACUCCCUAUGAUUUCACCUGGGACCUGACCAACCAGCAUUCACAGUUCACUGGCUUCCCCCGACUCACCAAGUUGGUCUUAAAAAUUCUGAUCCCCAAAUGCUCAGGAAGACUGACUUGAGUAAUAAUAAAAUUCUGGUC
This is a long non-coding RNA of Pongo pygmaeus (Bornean orangutan), 3781 nucleotides long. RefSeq lists it as uncharacterized. The record is from RefSeq and is a predicted model, not a curated record. The transcript has 3 exons. Lineage: Eukaryota; Metazoa; Chordata; Mammalia; Primates; Hominidae.